GGGUUGUGAGGUUAAGCGACUAAGCGUACACGGUGGAUGCCCUGGCAGUCAGAGGCGAUGAAGGACGUGCUAAUCUGCGAAAAGCGCCGGCGAGGUGAUAUGAACCUUUGACCCGGCGAUGUCCGAAUGGGGAAACCCAGUGUGAUUCGUCACACUAUCGUUAACUGAAUACAUAGGUUAACGAGGCGAACCGGGGGAACUGAAACAUCUAAGUACCCCGAGGAAAAGAAAUCAACCGAGAUUCCCCCAGUAGCGGCGAGCGAACGGGGAGCAGCCCAGAGUCUGAAUCAGCUUGUGUGUUAGUGGAAGCGUCUGGAAAGUCGCACGGUACAGGGUGACAGUCCCGUACACGAAAAUGCACAGGUUGUGAACUCGAAGAGUAGGGCGGGACACGUGGUAUCCUGUCUGAAUAUGGGGGGACCAUCCUCCAAGGCUAAAUACUCCUGACUGACCGAUAGUGAACCAGUACCGUGAGGGAAAGGCGAAAAGAACCCCGGCGAGGGGAGUGAAAUAGAACCUGAAACCGUGUACGUACAAGCAGUGGGAGCACCUUCGUGGUGUGACUGCGUACCUUUUGUAUAAUGGGUCAGCGACUUAUAUUCUGUAGCAAGGUUAACCGUAUAGGGGAGCCGAAGGGAAACCGAGUCUUAACUGGGCGUUAAGUUGCAGGGUAUAGACCCGAAACCCGGUGAUCUAGCCAUGGGCAGGUUGAAGGUUGGGUAACACUAACUGGAGGACCGAACCGACUAAUGUUGAAAAAUUAGCGGAUGACUUGUGGCUGGGGGUGAAAGGCCAAUCAAACCGGGAGAUAGCUGGUUCUCCCCGAAAGCUAUUUAGGUAGCGCCUCGUGAACUCAUCUUCGGGGGUAGAGCACUGUUUCGGCUAGGGGGCCAUCCCGGCUUACCAACCCGAUGCAAACUACGAAUACCGAAGAAUGUUAUCACGGGAGACACACGGCGGGUGCUAACGUCCGUCGUGAAGAGGGAAACAACCCAGACCGCCAGCUAAGGUCCCAAAGUCAUGGUUAAGUGGGAAACGAUGUGGGAAGGCACAGACAGCCAGGAUGUUGGCUUAGAAGCAGCCAUCAUUUAAAGAAAGCGUAAUAGCUCACUGGUCGAGUCGGCCUGCGCGGAAGAUGUAACGGGGCUAAACCAUGCACCGAAGCUGCGGCAGCGACACUAUGUGUUGUUGGGUAGGGGAGCGUUCUGUAAGCCGUUGAAGGUGUGCUGUGAGGCAUGCUGGAGGUAUCAGAAGUGCGAAUGCUGACAUAAGUAACGAUAAAGCGGGUGAAAAGCCCGCUCGCCGGAAGACCAAGGGUUCCUGUCCAACGUUAAUCGGGGCAGGGUGAGUCGACCCCUAAGGCGAGGCCGAAAGGCGUAGUCGAUGGGAAACAGGUUAAUAUUCCUGUACUUGGUGUUACUGCGAAGGGGGGACGGAGAAGGCUAUGUUAGCCGGGCGACGGUUGUCCCGGUUUAAGCAUGUAGGCGGAACGAUUAGGUAAAUCCGGUCGUUUUUUAACGCUGAGGUGUGAUGACGAGGCACUACGGUGCUGAAGUAACAAAUGCCCUGCUUCCAGGAAAAGCCUCUAAGCAUCAGGUAACAUCAAAUCGUACCCCAAACCGACACAGGUGGUCAGGUAGAGAAUACCAAGGCGCUUGAGAGAACUCGGGUGAAGGAACUAGGCAAAAUGGUGCCGUAACUUCGGGAGAAGGCACGCUGAUAUGUAGGUGAAGCCCCUGCGGGUGGAGCUGAAAUCAGUCGAAGAUACCAGCUGGCUGCAACUGUUUAUUAAAAACACAGCACUGUGCAAACACGAAAGUGGACGUAUACGGUGUGACGCCUGCCCGGUGCCGGAAGGUUAAUUGAUGGGGUUAGCGGCAACGCGAAGCUCUUGAUCGAAGCCCCGGUAAACGGCGGCCGUAACUAUAACGGUCCUAAGGUAGCGAAAUUCCUUGUCGGGUAAGUUCCGACCUGCACGAAUGGCGUAAUGAUGGCCAGGCUGUCUCCACCCGAGACUCAGUGAAAUUGAACUCGCUGUGAAGAUGCAGUGUACCCGCGGCAAGACGGAAAGACCCCGUGAACCUUUACUAUAGCUUGACACUGAACACUGGUCCUUGAUGUGUAGGAUAGGUGGGAGGCUUUGAAGUGUGGACGCCAGUCUGCAUGGAGCCGUCCUUGAAAUACCACCCUUUAAUGGCUGGUGUUCUAACGUAGACCCGUAAUCCGGGUUGCGGACAGUGUCUGGUGGGUAGUUUGACUGGGGCGGUCUCCUCCCAAAGAGUAACGGAGGAGCACGAAGGUUAGCUAAUCCUGGUCGGACAUCAGGAGGUUAGUGCAAUGGCAUAAGCUAGCUUGACUGCGAGAGUGACGGCUCGAGCAGGUGCGAAAGCAGGUCAUAGUGAUCCGGUGGUUCUGAAUGGAAGGGCCAUCGCUCAACGGAUAAAAGGUACUCCGGGGAUAACAGGCUGAUACCGCCCAAGAGUUCAUAUCGACGGCGGUGUUUGGCACCUCGAUGUCGGCUCAUCACAUCCUGGGGCUGAAGUAGGUCCCAAGGGUAUGGCUGUUCGCCAUUUAAAGUGGUACGCGAGCUGGGUUUAGAACGUCGUGAGACAGUUCGGUCCCUAUCUGCCGUGGGCGCUGGAGAAUUGAGGGGGGCUGCUCCUAGUACGAGAGGACCGGAGUGGACGCAUCACUGGUGUUCGGGUUGUCAUGCCAAUGGCACUGCCCGGUAGCUAAAUGCGGAAAAGAUAAGUGCUGAAAGCAUCUAAGCACGAAACUUGCCCCGAGAUGAGUUCUCCCUGAGACUUUAAGUCUCCUGAAGGAACGUUGAAGACGACGACGUUGAUAGGUCGGGUGUGUAAGCGCAGCGAUGCGUUGAGCUAACCGAUACUAAUGAACCGUGAGGCUUAACCUUACAACGCCGAAG
Molecule: ribosomal RNA, 2926 nt
Filed under: Enterobacter roggenkampii
Lineage: Bacteria; Pseudomonadati; Pseudomonadota; Gammaproteobacteria; Enterobacterales; Enterobacteriaceae
Description: 23S ribosomal RNA
Rfam family: Bacterial large subunit ribosomal RNA
Source: RNAcentral